Molecule: non-coding RNA, 89 nt
Filed under: unclassified sequences
Source: RNAcentral
AUAUUACUGCCACCGGGUAGGAAUGCAUAACAGCAUUCAUGUGUGUAUCGUUAGGUCAAAGAAGAUACGCAUGUGAGUGCUUUUUUAUU